CCUACGGGGGGCAGCAGUGGGGAAUAUUGGACAAUGGGCGAAAGCCUGAUCCAGCAAUGCCGCGUGAGUGAUGAAGGCCCUAGGGUUGUAAAGCUCUUUUACCCGGGAAGAUAAUGACUGUACCGGGAGAAUAAGCCCCGGCUAACUCCGUGCCAGCAGCCGCGGUAAUACGGAGGGGGCUAGCGUUGUUCGGAAUUACUGGGCGUAAAGCGCACGUAGGCGGCUUUGUAAGUCAGAGGUGAAAGCCUGGAGCUCAACUCCAGAACUGCCUUUGAGACUGCAUCGCUUGAAUCCAGGAGAGGUCAGUGGAAUUCCGAGUGUAGAGGUGAAAUUCGUAGAUAUUCGGAAGAACACCAGUGGCGAAGGCGGCUGACUGGACUGGUAUUGACGCUGAGGUGCGAAAGCGUGGGGAGCAAACAGGAUUAGAUACCCGAGUAGUC
Molecule: ribosomal RNA, 440 nt
Filed under: uncultured bacterium
Lineage: Bacteria
Description: bacterial SSU rRNA
Rfam family: Bacterial small subunit ribosomal RNA
Source: RNAcentral